This 440-nucleotide ribosomal RNA is filed under the name uncultured bacterium. RNAcentral describes it as "partial 16S ribosomal RNA". It matches the Rfam family "Bacterial small subunit ribosomal RNA", at positions 338 to 795 of the family's 1533-position model. The record is from RNAcentral.
CCUACGGGUGGCAGCAGUGGGGAAUAUUGCACAAUGGGGGAAACCCUGAUGCAGCGAAGCCGCGUGAGUGAAGAAGUAAUUCGUUACGGAAAGCUCUAUCAGCAGGGAAGAAAAUGACGGUACCUGAGUAAGAAGCCCCGGCUAACUACGUGCCAGCAGCCGCGGUAACACGUAGGGGGCAAGCGUUAUCCGGAUUUAGUGGGUGUAAAGGGAGCGUAGACGGUGCGCCAAGUCUGGAGUGAAAUGCCGGGGCUUAACCCCGGAACGGCCUUGGAAACUGUGCGGCUGGAGUGCAGGAGGGGUAAGCGGAAUUCCUGGUGUAGCGGUGAAAUGCGUAGAUAUUAGGAGGAACACCGGUGGCGAAGGCGGCUUACUGGACUGUAACUGACGUUGAGGCUCGAAAGCGUGGGGAGCAAACAGGAUUAGAUACCCUAGUAGUC